UAGGUAGUUUCGUGUUGUUGGGCCUGGCUUUCUGAACACAACAACACCAAACCACCUGAU
Molecule: microRNA precursor, 60 nt
Filed under: Rattus norvegicus (Norway rat)
Lineage: Eukaryota; Metazoa; Chordata; Mammalia; Rodentia; Muridae
Description: Rno-Mir-196-P3_pre stem-loop
Source: RNAcentral